CCUACGGGUGACUGCAGUCGAGAAUCAUUCACAAUGGGGGAAACCCUGAUGGUGCGACGCCGCGUGGAGGAAUGAAGGUCUUCGGAUUGUAAACCGCUGUCAUGUGGGAGCAAAUUAAAAAGAUAGUACCACAAGAGGAAGAGACGGCUAACUCUGUGCCAGCAGCCGCGGUAAUACAGAGGUCUCAAGCGUUGUUCGGAAUCACUGGGCGUAAAGGGUGCGUAGGCUGUUUCGUAAGUCGUGUGUGAAAGGCGCGGGCUCAACCCGCGGACGGCACAUGAUACUGCGGGACUAGAGAAAAGGUGCGGUAAGCGGAAUGUACGGUGUAGCAGUGAAAUGCGUAGAGAUC
Molecule: ribosomal RNA, 349 nt
Filed under: uncultured bacterium
Lineage: Bacteria
Description: partial 16S ribosomal RNA
Rfam family: Bacterial small subunit ribosomal RNA
Source: RNAcentral